Non-coding RNA from Callorhinchus milii (elephant shark), 73 nucleotides. Lineage: Eukaryota; Metazoa; Chordata; Chondrichthyes; Chimaeriformes; Callorhinchidae. The record is from the annotation of a RefSeq genome assembly.
AUUCCUGUAGCUCAGUGGUUAGAGCACUCACCCAGCAAGUGAGAGGACCUGGGUUUGAUUCCCGGGUGGGACA